UCCCUCAUAGCUCAAUCAGUAAAGAAUCUGCCUGCAAUGCAGGAGACCCAGGUUCGAUUUCUGGGUCAGGAAG
Ovis aries (sheep) is the source of this 73-nucleotide non-coding RNA. The record is from Rfam. Lineage: Eukaryota; Metazoa; Chordata; Mammalia; Artiodactyla; Bovidae.